CCGGACCCCACUGCUAUCGGGAUAAGACUAAGCCAUGCUAGUCGUGCGCCUCCUAGCCAUGAUGGAGGCGCGGCACACAGCUCAGUAGCACGUGGCUAACCUACCCUUGGGACGGAAGCACCCCCGGGAAACUGGGGCUAAUUUCUGAUAGGUGAAGGCUUCUGGAAUGGACUUUCGCCUAAAGGACGCUUGGAUCAUGCUUCUAGGCGUUGCCCAAGGAUGGGGCCGCGGCCGAUCAGGUUGUUGGUGAGGUAAUGGCUCACCAAGCCUAUAACCGGUGCGGGCCGUGGGAGCGGGAGCCCGGAGAUGGGCACUGAGACAAGGGCCCAGGCCCUACGGGGCGCAGCAGGCGCGAAAACUUCGCAAUAAGCGAAAGCUUGACGGGGUUAUCCCGAGUGCCAUCCGCUGAGGAUGGCUUUUCUCUAGUAUAGAUAGCUGGGUGAAUAAGGAGAGGGCAAGUCUGGUGUCAGCCGCCGCGGUAAUACCAGCUCUCCGAGUGGUGUGGACGAUUAUUGGGCCUAAAGCAUCCGUAGCCGGCUGGGCAAGUCCCCUGUUAAACCCAACGAUUCAAUCGUUGGCUCGCGGGGGAUACUGCUCGGCUAGGGGGCGAGAGAGGCCGUCGGUAUUCCCGGGGUAGGGGUGAAAUCCUAUAAUCCCGGGAGGACCACCAGUGGCGAAGGCUGUCGGCUAGAACGCGCUCGACGGUGAGGGAUGAAAGCUGGGGGAGCGAACCGGAUUAGAUACCCGGGUAGUCCCAGCUGUAAACGAUGCAGGCUAGGUGUUAGGGCGGCCACGUGCCGCUCUAGUGCCGCAGGGAAGCUGUUAAGCCUGCCGCCUGGGGAGUACGGUCGCAAGGCUGAAACUUAAAGGAAUUGGCGGGGGAGCACCACAAGGGGUGAAGCUUGCGGUUUAAUUGGAGUCAACGCCGG
RNAcentral lists this ribosomal RNA (929 nucleotides) under uncultured archaeon. RNAcentral's name for it is "bacterial SSU rRNA". It matches the Rfam family "Archaeal small subunit ribosomal RNA", at positions 17 to 921 of the family's 1478-position model. The record is from RNAcentral.